This 864-nucleotide long non-coding RNA is filed under the name Homo sapiens (human). Its description in RNAcentral is "HSALNT0145356". Lineage: Eukaryota; Metazoa; Chordata; Mammalia; Primates; Hominidae. The record is from RNAcentral.
AAGAGAUUCUCCCGCCUCAGCCUCCCGAGUAGCUGGGAUCAUAGGCACGCGCCACCACACCUGGCUAAUUUUUGUAUUUUUAGUAGAGACAGGGUCUCACCAUGUUGCCCAGGCUGGUCUCAAACUCCUGGCCUCUAGUGAUCCGCCUGCCUCCGUCUCCCAAAGUGCCGGGAUUACAGGCAUGAGCCACCACACCCGGCCAAGAUAAAAGUUCUUAAUUCCAAGGACUGUUAAUCAUUUGUGACCUAAUCUAGAUUCAGUCUGGAUGGAGUCUCUGAUGUCAUUACUGAAUACCUUGUUGUCAGACAUUUUUGGAUACAAUUUAUAGUUUUUGAGCCCUUCCCAGUCAACUGAGGCCAAGGCUUUUUCCCCAAAUCUGAGACCACCUAGGCAUAGCUACCCUCGAAAAUGUACAUCAUCAGGAAAUAUGGAUCAUCUAUUUACCAAGCAAAAGAGGGAGCAUUAUUCAGUGGAAUCAAAACCUUCUUCUCCCUGAAAACCUGUUUCUAUUUUCCACGUGUGACUAAUUUUUAAUCUCGGUGACUGAGCGGUAAUGGUGUUGUCACUGAUGCUGACGAUGGGCUUUUUAAAAAGCAUAUGAUCUAUGCUGCCUUCAUAGUAUCCUUUUUUGGUUAUUGUUUCUGUGGCUUUCUGAGUAAAAUAAGCUCAGCGUCUGUGGCUCUAGCAACCCCGGCGCCAUUGUAGAGGAGAUGCCAUCUGCAUGCAAAGGUUCUGCGGUGCCUGCUCCACAGAAGGCUGCCUCUCCUGGCCAUUACUCACCACAACAGGAAAACAGCUAUCUGCCUAUGUCCAUUUGUUAAGAAGGCAGUAACAUGGCAUCUUUAAUAAACUCAAAUAAAUGCA